Long non-coding RNA from Odocoileus virginianus texanus, 751 nucleotides. RefSeq lists it as uncharacterized. NCBI's taxonomy places the organism in Eukaryota, Metazoa, Chordata, Mammalia, Artiodactyla, Cervidae. The record is from RefSeq and is a predicted model, not a curated record.
GCUCAGAGGAGGAGACAGGCUAGUGAGCGCAUGGGCUUGACUCUCCUGCAAGGAGUUACGUGGCCAGAGCGCAGAACGAGAAGCUCGAUUCAUCUACUCCUGGACUCUCACGUGUUAAGAUCACAAACCCUGAGCCAUGACCGGAGAAGCUGAACCGAAGGUUUCCCGAAUGACUCGAAGGACUCCACACAGCCUUUGGUGAUGACUGGCUGGGAUCCUGACUCCCACGGCAGGCUGUGGGCUCCUGGCAGGAGAGGGGUGUUUUCCUGCACAUCUUUGUCUCCCCUCAGCUCACACACCAGGGCACCCCUGGGAGAUGCGGAAUGAACAAGGGACCAAAGAGGCUCAGCCUCCAGGAAGGCCCGUGGGGCUCGGGAGACCGUGGAUUCCCAGAGAUCCAGCCCCUCCAAGAGCAGCCUUGCUCUUCCCCUAGCAGGGCCCGCUGUCACCACCAGAAUGCCUUUUCUUUCUCCCGGAAUACGAAUGCAGGAACUGCGGGGAAGGAAGCGUGUAGAAGCCGCUUGAUGACUUUCCUCAUUGUCUCUGAGCCAGGCAUCCCCAGCAGGGUCAGAGCCUACUCCCUGCUCCUCCCACCCGCCAGAUGGCUCCCUGAAACAGGCAGGGCUAAUUUUACAGCCAGAAGGAGGCUGUGAGGAUGGCACACUCCUGCCUCGGGGACUUUCAUACCCUGGCAUCUUGAUGGAUCAGGCUCCUUCCCAGAGAGCAAGGCCUCGGAACCCAGAGCCAGGAC